Molecule: ribosomal RNA, 244 nt
Filed under: uncultured bacterium
Lineage: Bacteria
Description: partial 16S ribosomal RNA
Rfam family: Bacterial small subunit ribosomal RNA
Source: RNAcentral
AACACGUAUCCAACCUGCCGUCUACUCUUGGACAGCCUUCUGAAAGGAAGAUUAAUACAAGAUGGCAUCAUGAGUCCGCAUGUUCACAUGAUUAAAGGUAUUCCGGUAGACGAUGGGGAGUGCGUUCCAUUAGAUAGUAGGCGGGGUAACGGCCCACCUAGUCUUCGAUGGAUAGGGGUUCUGAGAGGAAGGUCCCCCACAUUGGAACUGAGACACGGUCCAAACUCCUACGGGAGGCAGCAUG